This 254-nucleotide ribosomal RNA is filed under the name uncultured bacterium. Its description in RNAcentral is "partial 16S ribosomal RNA". It matches the Rfam family "Bacterial small subunit ribosomal RNA", at positions 524 to 776 of the family's 1533-position model. The record is from RNAcentral.
UACGGGGGAUGCAAGCGUUAUCCGGAUUUAUUGGGCUUAAAGGGUGCGUAGGCUGUGAGGUAAGUCAGCGGUGAAAUGCCCCCGCUCAACGGGGUGAAGUGCCAUUGAUACUGCCUUGCUGGAAUGCGGAUGCCGUGGGAGGAAUGUGUGGUGUAGCGGUGAAAUGCAUAGAUAUCACACAGAACACCGAUUGCGAAGGCAUCUCACGAAUCCGCUAUUGACGCUGAUGCACGAAAGCGUGGGUAUCAAACAGG